UACAUGCAAGUCGAACGAGUUCUCGUUGAUGAUCGGUGCUUGCACCGAGAUUCAACAUGGAACGAGUGGCGGACGGGUGAGUAACACGUGGGUAACCUGCCCUUAAGUGGGGGAUAACAUUUGGAAACAGAUGCUAAUACCGCAUAGAUCCAAGAACCGCAUGGUUCUUGGCUGAAAGAUGGCGUAAGCUAUCGCUUUUGGAUGGACCCGCGGCGUAUUAGCUAGUUGGUGAGGUAAUGGCUCACCAAGGCGAUGAUACGUAGCCGAACUGAGAGGUUGAUCGGCCACAUUGGGACUGAGACACGGCCCAAACUCCUACGGGAGGCAGCAGUAGGGAAUCUUCCACAAUGGACGCAAGUCUGAUGGAGCAACGCCGCGUGAGUGAAGAAGGCUUUCGGGUCGUAAAACUCUGUUGUUGGAGAAGAAUGGUCGGCAGAGUAACUGUUGUCGGCGUGACGGUAUCCAACCAGAAAGCCACGGCUAACUACGUGCCAGCAGCCGCGGUAAUACGUAGGUGGCAAGCGUUAUCCGGAUUUAUUGGGCGUAAAGCGAGCGCAGGCGGUUUUUUAAGUCUGAUGUGAAAGCCCUCGGCUUAACCGAGGAAGCGCAUCGGAAACUGGGAAACUUGAGUGCAGAAGAGGACAGUGGAACUCCAUGUGUAGCGGUGAAAUGCGUAGAUAUAUGGAAGAACACCAGUGGCGAAGGCGGCUGUCUGGUCUGUAACUGACGCUGAGGCUCGAAAGCAUGGGUAGCGAACAGGAUUAGAUAC
This 769-nucleotide ribosomal RNA is filed under the name Lactobacillus casei group sp. RNAcentral's name for it is "bacterial SSU rRNA". It matches the Rfam family "Bacterial small subunit ribosomal RNA", at positions 52 to 785 of the family's 1533-position model. Lineage: Bacteria; Bacillati; Bacillota; Bacilli; Lactobacillales; Lactobacillaceae. The record is from RNAcentral.